Molecule: transfer RNA, 83 nt
Filed under: Pseudomonas fluorescens
Lineage: Bacteria; Pseudomonadati; Pseudomonadota; Gammaproteobacteria; Pseudomonadales; Pseudomonadaceae
Description: tRNA-Ser
Source: RNAcentral
CGGCUCAUGGCUGGGUCCUUAUGCAGCGUUGAAUUCAGCCUUCAAAGGUAUGCCUGUUGCCUGGCGCAGUCCAGUCGGGUCGA